Molecule: long non-coding RNA, 605 nt
Organism: Ornithodoros turicata
Lineage: Eukaryota; Metazoa; Arthropoda; Arachnida; Ixodida; Argasidae
Exons: 2
Source: RefSeq, a predicted model, not a curated record
UAUGGGGGCAUGCACAAACGGGCCACAACACUAUGGUGAAAAAGAUGCAGCAACGUGAUGGUGGUGGUGGUGGUGAAAGGCUCGCCGUUGUCGGCCUCACAGAGGUAUGUCACAGUCGGCCUUUCUAAGAAACGAAGCACAAAGGACUCAGAAUCGUGCCCAAAGAGAAGCAACUCGUGCGGAUGUAACGAACUCCAGCGGUGUUAUGGUUACAGGCCGAUUAGAAAAGGAAUCGGGAACAGAUUGUGAUUCCCUUCGACUGAAGCGAAGCGUGCGGGGAACUUUCCCAUGACCAGGCCGCCCAGCGCGCCAUCACCUGGACGCCUUCUGCGGUUCUCCACGGCUCCUAUUUGGCUGGAGCUUCUAUGAACUCUUUUAUGCCCACCUCGGUCGGUGGUGCGGUUACAAAAGCAGUAAGAAUUGAAUAUCGAGCUGCGUUGCCUGGCUAUCGUCCAGCGAAACGGUCUGUAAUGGACCCACUGUUCGAGCCCACAGAUGUUCGCACAUGGCUGCUUUUUGUGAACAUCUCAAUUGCGAUACAAACGACCCCAAGUUGUCAUGGCGGUCGAUCACAAUUGACAACCUCAUAAAUAUCACCAUCUUUA